RNAcentral lists this ribosomal RNA (577 nucleotides) under uncultured bacterium. Its description in RNAcentral is "bacterial SSU rRNA". It matches the Rfam family "Bacterial small subunit ribosomal RNA", at positions 102 to 666 of the family's 1533-position model. The record is from RNAcentral.
ACGGGUGCGUAACACGUGGGCAAUCUGCCUUAAAGUGGGGGAUAGCUCGGCGAAAGCCGAAUUAAUACCGCAUGUGAUCAGGGGAGACAUCUUCCCGAAAUCAAAAGUGGCGCAAGCUACUGCUUUUUGAGGAGCCCGCGGCCUAUCAGCUAGUUGGCGAGGUAACGGCUCACCAAGGCUUUGACGGGUAGCUGGUCUGAGAGGGCGACCAGUCACACUGGAACUGAGACACGGUCCAGACACCUACGGGUGGCAGCAGUCGAGAAUUUUUCUCAAUGGGGGAAACCCUGAAGGAGCGACGCCGCGUGGAGGAUGAAGGUCUUCGGGUUGUAAACUCCUGUCAUUUGGGAACAAGUGCCGGUACGUAACUGCUACCGGCUUGAUAGUACCAGAAGAGGAAGAGACGGCUAACUCUGUGCCAGCAGCCGCGGUAAUACAGAGGUCUCAAGCGUUGUUCGGAUUCAUUGGGCGUAAAGGGUGUGUAGGUGGCGCCGUAAGUCGGGUGUGAAAUUUCGGAGCUUAACUCCGAAACUGCAUUCGAUACUGCGGUGCUUGAGGACUGGAGAGGAGACUGGAA